This 700-nucleotide ribosomal RNA is filed under the name uncultured bacterium. RNAcentral describes it as "bacterial SSU rRNA". It matches the Rfam family "Bacterial small subunit ribosomal RNA", at positions 8 to 692 of the family's 1533-position model. The record is from RNAcentral.
AGAGUUUGAUCCUGGCUCAGGACGAACGCUGGCGGCGUGCCUAAUACAUGCAAGUCGAGCGGAACCUUUGGAGCUUGCUCCAUUGGUUUAGCGGCGGACGGGUGAGUAACACGUGGGCAACCUGCCCUGCAGAUCGGGAUAACUCCGGGAAACCGGUGCUAAUACCGAAUAGUUUGCGGCCUCUCCUGAGGCUGCACGGAAAGACGGUUUCGGCUGUCACUGCAGGAUGGGCCCGCGGCGCAUUAGCUAGUUGGUGGGGUAAUGGCCCACCAAGGCCACGAUGCGUAGCCGACCUGAGAGGGUGAUCGGCCACACUGGGACUGAGACACGGCCCAGACUCCUACGGGAGGCAGCAGUAGGGAAUCUUCCGCAAUGGACGCAAGUCUGACGGAGCAACGCCGCGUGAGUGACGAAGGUUUUCGGAUCGUAAAACUCUGUUGUGAGGGAAGAACACGUACCAGCUAACUACUGGUACCUUGACGGUACCUCACCAGAAAGCCACGGCUAACUACGUGCCAGCAGCCGCGGUAAUACGUAGGUGGCAAGCGUUGUCCGGAAUUAUUGGGCGUAAAGCGCGCGCAGGCGGUCCUUUAAGUCUGAUGUGAAAGCCCACGGCUCAACCGUGGAGGGUCAUUGGAAACUGGAGAACUUGAGUGCAGAAGAGGAAAGUGGAAUUCCAUGUGUAGCGGUGAAAUGCGUA